UGAAAAAUUACUUGUAAUAUCCCUUUAGUCAUUUCCCGAAUCGGAAGCUAACUUCAGCUUCGUAUCUCACGAGACAUUGUAGAAGAACUCGGACUUGUAGAGAAGCUGGAUCCACCAUUACCUGUUCUGGGUAUCACCGGUCAAAGAAUCACAGCCAUCACUCAUUGGGUCAGCAAUAGGCAUGGACUGAAUACCGGUUUCACGGUAUACCACGAGAGAAAGAGGUGAAAUCCUUCCGCUCGUGUUCAGACUUUGACCCCGCCCCCGCGCACCCCGUAGCUCUUCAAGUAGCACUCAGCUGCGGCCAGUUUUGCAGAUUGCAAGAUGGCGGAAGGAGGCGAGGAUCUCCCAGAACUUCCCCCCCGUCUAAACGAAUUAAAUCGGCUAUAUGGGGAUACUUUGGCUACCGUAGAAAAACAGAUGGCAACGGUUUGGAGGAAGAAGGUAAUCCUACAUGCAAAACAUGCUUGCGGAGAGUGGCAGCCAAAGGAGGCAACACGUCGAACAUGAUAGCACACCUACGAGAGCACCACCCGUCACUGUUUGCUACAUACAAGAAUAACGAUGGCUCUGGCGGCUACAAGUCAUAUAAAGCACCUCAAGUAUCACCUCAAGAAUCACCUGCAGCCACUGCUGACUAAGAACAGGAAACCAGCACUUCCACUGCCUCCUUUGCUGGUACAAAAAAGAAAGACAAAUCACUGUCUUGUUUGCUGAAAGAAAUAACAUCAGCAAAACAGCAGAGAGUUCAAGCUGUAGAUGGCUUACCAAAAGAGAGAGUGAAA
Long non-coding RNA from Austrofundulus limnaeus, 785 nucleotides. RefSeq lists it as uncharacterized. The record is from RefSeq and is a predicted model, not a curated record. Lineage: Eukaryota; Metazoa; Chordata; Actinopteri; Cyprinodontiformes; Rivulidae. The transcript has 3 exons.